RNAcentral lists this ribosomal RNA (429 nucleotides) under Bacteroidota bacterium. RNAcentral describes it as "Bacteroidetes bacterium partial 16S ribosomal RNA". It matches the Rfam family "Bacterial small subunit ribosomal RNA", at positions 355 to 776 of the family's 1533-position model. The record is from RNAcentral. Lineage: Bacteria; Pseudomonadati; Bacteroidota.
UAGGGAAUCUUCCGCAAUGGACGCAAGUCUGACGGAGCAACGCCGCGUGAGUGAAGAAGGAUUUCGGUUCGUAAAACUCUGUUGUUAGAGAAGAACAGCGCAUAGAGUAACUGUUAUGCGUGUGACGGUAUCUAACCAGAAAGCCACGACUAACUACGUGCCAGCAGCCGCGGUAAUACGUAGGUGGCAAGCGUUGUCCGGAUUUAUUGGGCGUAAAGCGAGCGCAGGCGGUCAAUUAAGUCUGAUGUGAAAGCCCCCGGCUCAACCGGGGAGGGUCAUUGGAAACUGGUUGACUUGAGUGCAGAAGAGGAGAGUGGAAUUCCAUGUGUAGCGGAGAAAUGCGUAGAUAUAUGGAGGAACACCAGUGGCGAAGGCGACUCUCUGGUCUGUAACUGACGCUGAGGCUCGAAAGCGUGGGUAGCAAACAGG